This 1648-nucleotide unclassified non-coding RNA is filed under the name Hevea brasiliensis (rubber tree). The record is from RNAcentral. Lineage: Eukaryota; Viridiplantae; Streptophyta; Magnoliopsida; Malpighiales; Euphorbiaceae.
UUGAAGAUCAACUAGAUGAUGAUGCAGAAGAUGAUAAUGGAGAUGCACGUGUUGAAGAAAAUGCUGAAGAGGACUAUGAGGACUCAAAAACUGGGGUUAUUCAGAAAGAUCAAUCACCAGAAAUGAAUAGAAGCCGUGUCAAUACAGAGCCUCUAGAAGAUGAUGAAAAACCUACUGCUUCUGUCCAAGAAGACGAAAAAGAGAAGCAUGCUCAACUUCUUGCCCUUCCGCCCCAUGGUUCAGAAGUUUUCAUUGGUGGGCUUCCAAAGGAUGCAUUAGAAGAUGAUUUGAGGGAUCUAUGUGACCCAAUAGGCGAAAUUUUUGAGAUAAGGUUAAUGAAAGACAAGGACUCUGGUGAAAGCAAGGGCUUUGCUUUUGUUGCCUUUAAAUCAAAGGAGAUUGCUCAAAAGGCCAUUGAAGAGCUUCAUAGUAAGGAGCUCAAGGGAAAAACCUUAAGAUGUUCUCUUUCUGAAACCAAGAACAGAUUGUUUAUCGGUAAUGUUCCAAAGAGCUGGACAGAGGAUGAGUUUAGAAAAGUCAUUGAGGAGGUUGGUCCCGGGGUGGAACUCAUUGAGCUGAUAAAGGAUCCUCAAAAUCCAGCCCGUAAUCGUGGUUUUGCUUUUAUAUUGUAUUACAAUAAUGCAUGUGCUGAUUAUUCAAGGCAGAAAAUGUUAAAUGCAAAUUUUAAGCUGGAUGGAAAUACCCCAACUGUCAGCUGGGCUGAUCCAAAGGGCACACCUGAUCAUUCUGCUGCUGCUGCCCAGGUUAAGGCUUUGUAUGUAAAGAACAUACCUGAGAACACUAGUACUGAGCAACUGAAGGAACUAUUCAUGCGCCAUGGGGAAGUAACAAAAGUUGUUAUGCCACCUGGCAAAGCAGGAAAACGAGAUUUUGGGUUCAUUCAUUACGCUGAAAGGUCAAGUGCAUUGAAGGCUGUCAAAGAUAGCGAGAAAUACGAAAUUGACGGUAAUUUUCAGAAAUAUCAAUGUGAACAUGUAGACCAAAUAUAACCUUUUUUUUUUAAUUGAUUUUGAUAACUGUGAAAAUAACCCUGUUUUCAGAUAUCAAGAAUGUGCAUGGAUAAGGAAAUUAUAGAAUUUAACAUUAUGGAUUAAAUUAUAUGGAUAUGUUAUAUGUUAUUAAGCUAGAUAAAUAUUUUCUGUAGAGUGAGUGUGAGUCAAUGGUUAUGAUAAAUUUUCCACAGUUUCAGUAUUAGUUGUUCUUGUUUAUUCUUUCUAAGAGAAAUUAUACCUUACCUCCUUUGGUUAGACCUAUUUAAUUAUCCCAUUUUGACAUUCGACUUUCCUGAGGCUAGCCUUAGAUAUCCUUUUUCUGUGAGUACAAGUGGAUUAUCUUCAGAGAAAAUAUGAAAUAUGAUAUCAGAAAUUGUAAAAUCUAAUAAAUUUGGUAAUACUGUUUGCUGACUUCUGCCUUUGUUGUUCUUGCCGUUGUCAAAUCAUGCAAAAAAUGGUGCUGUUUUUAAGUUUAAAUUUUUACUUCCCUUUAAGUUCAAUGAAGUUGUAAUGCAUAACCCAACCCCACCCACAAAUAGGGGGAAGUGAUCUGUGAUUGGCAGGCAUGUGGGUUGCAUUGGGAAUUCAAGCCUUGCUGCUGGAGAUAAUGCAGUUUGUUUUGUUUUAUCAUUGUU